RNAcentral lists this unclassified non-coding RNA (363 nucleotides) under uncultured Leotiomycetes. Its description in RNAcentral is "sequence contains ITS2". The stretch from base 1 to 154 matches the Rfam family "5.8S ribosomal RNA". The record is from RNAcentral. Lineage: Eukaryota; Fungi; Ascomycota; Leotiomycetes.
AACUUUCAGCAAUGGAUCACUUGGUUCUGGCAUCGAUGAUGAACGCAGCGAAAUGCGAUAAGUAAUGUGAAUUGCAGAAUUCAGUGAAUCAUCGAAUCUUUGAACGCACAUUGCGCCCUCUGGUAUUCCGGGGGGCAUGCCUGUUCGAGCGUCAUUACUACCCUCAAGCUCCGCUUGGUGUUGGGCCCCGCCGGCUCCGGCGGGCCCUAAAAUCAGUGGCGGUGCCAUCUGGCUUCAAGCGUAGUAAUUUAUCUCGCUUCGGGGUCCGGGUGCGCGCCCGCCAGCAACCCCCAAUUUUUAAAGGUUGACCUCGGAUCAGGUAGGGAUACCCGCUGAACUUAAGCAUAUCAAUAAGCGGAGGCU